RNAcentral lists this ribosomal RNA (391 nucleotides) under uncultured bacterium. RNAcentral describes it as "bacterial SSU rRNA". It matches the Rfam family "Bacterial small subunit ribosomal RNA", at positions 28 to 420 of the family's 1533-position model. The record is from RNAcentral.
GACGAACGCUGGCGGCGUGCUUAACACAUGCAAGUCGAGCGGUAAGGCCCUUUCGGGGGUACACGAGCGGCGAACGGGUGAGUAACACGUGGGUGACCUGCCCUCAGCUCUGGGAUAAGCCUGGGAAACCGGGUCUAAUACUGGAUAUGACUCCAUGACGCAUGUUGUGGGGUGGAAAGCCUUGUGCGGCUGAGGAUGGGCCCGCGGCCUAUCAGCUUGUUGGUGGGGUGANGGCCUACCAAGGCGACGACGGGUAGCCGGCCUGAGAGGGCGACCGGCCACACUGGGACUGAGACACGGCCCAGACUCCUACGGGAGGCAGCAGUGGGGAAUCUUGCGCAAUGGGCGAAAGCCUGACGCAGCGACGCCGCGCGAGGGAUGACGGCCCUGG